UACAGAGGGUGCAAGCGUUGUUCGGAAUUAUUGGGCGUAAAGCGCGUGUAGGCGGCUUUGCAAGUCGGGUGUGAAAGCCCUCAGCUCAACUGAGGAAGUGCGCCCGAAACUGCAGGGCUAGAGUCCUGGAGAGGAAGGUGGAAUGCUUGGUGUAGAGGUGAAAUUCGUAGAUAUCAAGCGGAACACCGGUGGCGAAGGCGGCCUUCUGGACAGUGACUGACGCUGAGACGCGAAAGCGUGGGGAGCAAACAGG
Molecule: ribosomal RNA, 253 nt
Filed under: uncultured bacterium
Lineage: Bacteria
Description: partial 16S ribosomal RNA
Rfam family: Bacterial small subunit ribosomal RNA
Source: RNAcentral